UCACUGGGCAUCCUCUGCUUUA
This 22-nucleotide microRNA is filed under the name Bos taurus (domestic cattle). RNAcentral describes it as "bta-miR-10172-3p". RNAcentral also lists the same sequence under 1 other name. The record is from miRBase by way of RNAcentral. Lineage: Eukaryota; Metazoa; Chordata; Mammalia; Artiodactyla; Bovidae.